Molecule: ribosomal RNA, 702 nt
Filed under: Vibrio parahaemolyticus
Lineage: Bacteria; Pseudomonadati; Pseudomonadota; Gammaproteobacteria; Vibrionales; Vibrionaceae
Description: partial 23S ribosomal RNA
Rfam family: Bacterial large subunit ribosomal RNA
Source: RNAcentral
AGAGUUAGGUAAAUCCGGCUCUUUUUAAGGCUGAGACACGACGUCGAGCACCUACGGGUGUGAAGUCAUUGAUGCCAUGCUUCCAGGAAAAGCCUCUAAGCUUCAGAUUGUAAGGAAUCGUACCCCAAACCGACACAGGUGGUCGGGUAGAGAAUACCAAGGCGCUUGAGAGAACUCGGGUGAAGGAACUAGGCAAAAUGGUACCGUAACUUCGGGAGAAGGUACGCUCUCGACGGUGAAGUCCCUCGCGGAUGGAGCUAUUGAGAGUCGCAGAUACCAGGUGGCUGCAACUGUUUAUUAAAAACACAGCACUGUGCAAAAUCGUAAGAUGACGUAUACGGUGUGACGCCUGCCCGGUGCCGGAAGGUUAAUUGAUGGGGUUAGACUUCGGUCGAAGCUCUUGAUCGAAGCCCCGGUAAACGGCGGCCGUAACUAUAACGGUCCUAAGGUAGCGAAAUUCCUUGUCGGGUAAGUUCCGACCUGCACGAAUGGCGUAAUGAUGGCCACGCUGUCUCCACCCGAGACUCAGUGAAAUUGAAAUCGCUGUGAAGAUGCAGUGUACCCGCGGCUAGACGGAAAGACCCCGUGAACCUUUACUACAGCUUGGCACUGAACAUUGACCCUACAUGUGUAGGAUAGGUGGGAGGCUUUGAAGCACGUACGCCAGUAUGUGUGGAGCCGUCCUUGAAAUACCACCCUUGU